GGCUACUUGUCGUCCUGGGAUGGGGGUAAAACUCCAUCCCAUGCUGUUCAACCCUUUGUCUUUUGCGUACUGUAUGUUUCCUCGGCGGGUUCGCCCGCCGAUAGGACACUUCAAAACCUUUUGUAAUUGCAAUCAGCGUCAGAAAAACUAUAAUAGUUACAACUUUCAACAACGGAUCUCUUGGUUCUGGCAUCGAUGAAGAACGCAGCGAAAUGCGAAAAGUAGUGUGAAUUGCAGAAUUCAGUGAAUCAUCGAAUCUUUGAACGCACAUUGCGCCCCUUGGUAUUCCAUGGGGCAUGCCUGUUCGAGCGUCAUUUGUACCCUCAAGCUCUGCUUGGUGUUGGGUGUUUGUCCCGCCUUCGCGCGUGGACUCGCCUUAAAGUGAUUGGCAGCCGGAAUAAUUCUGGGGAACGCAGCACAACUGCAGCCUCCAUUUUACGCCGAGCGUCCAGUAAGCCUUUUUUCAACGUUUGACCUCGGAUCAGGUAGGGAUACCCGCUGAACUUAAGCAUAUCAAUAAGGAAGAUGACAA
RNAcentral lists this ribosomal RNA (532 nucleotides) under Pyrenochaeta sp. WBS023. Its description in RNAcentral is "eukaryotic LSU rRNA". The stretch from base 161 to 314 matches the Rfam family "5.8S ribosomal RNA". The record is from RNAcentral. Lineage: Eukaryota; Fungi; Ascomycota; Dothideomycetes; Pleosporales; Cucurbitariaceae.